This is a non-coding RNA of Microcebus murinus (gray mouse lemur), 1029 nucleotides long. Lineage: Eukaryota; Metazoa; Chordata; Mammalia; Primates; Cheirogaleidae. The record is from RefSeq and is a predicted model, not a curated record.
GGCCACUUGGGCCACACAGCCAAGGUUAGGGUUAGGGACACUUGAGCCACACAGCCAAGGUUAGGGUUAGGGUUAGAGCCACUUGGGCCACACAGCCAAGGUUAGGGUUAGGGUUAGAGCCACUUGGGCCACACAGCCAAGGUUAGGGUUAGGGCCACUUGGGCCACACAACCAGGGUUAGGGUCAGCAGGGGGUGGAGGUUUCUCAGCUGGACCCAAAUCUCUCUCCUCCCCGGCCUGCCCUCCAGCUGGGGCUCCUGGACCGCCUCCUCCAGAGGUUCCCUGUAAGCUCUUCUCAAGGUCUUGGGGACAGGACAUUUGGGGACCUGGGGCUGGCAAGGCCCGUGCCAGUGGGAAGCCGUGACUCUCCGGGACCUUUGCCAGGUCCCCGCUCACUGCUGGCAUCUCCAAAGGCACAUAUGCAGAGAUGGGCCUCCUACCGGCCACCCCACCCCAGCUGGUCACCACCGCUAGCAGGUGUCAGACACACAGGGACAGACUGUAGCACAGUUCAGGCCUCAGGUCCAAGGGCAGCGCAGGUCCCUGCAGCGGCCUUCCUCCACCCUCUUCAGCCUCACCAGUGCCUGAGGGAACCAGCCGUGGGUCUCUGGCCUUCCUUGACCACUCGAGUUAAUUCUCUCAGCUGUUUGGGUAGGUUUUUCCUUAGUUACUUGUGGUUUUCUUGUAUUUUAUGUUAUUAUUUCUAUUAAGAACAUUUGGGUGUGUGGACCCAAGAACCUGGGAAUGUGGUGGCAUCCGAUAUAACCUAAUUCGUUCCCGUCUGCAUAACCGCAUAGAUCGAUUCGUUGGCCUGCGGGUUUACCUGGCGAUAGGCCUGGAGUCCCGUGUAUGUGGUCUCCAGGUGUACCCCAGAGUCAGAGGCUGUCAGCAUUGGCACCUGCAUCACGGGAUCGGGCCACGCACAUACUGGCACACGCACAUAACAGCGGCUGUGCGUUUUCUUAUUUUUCCUUUUUAAAAAUAAAUCAUUUGUGAUGCUUUUAACAAAGAUUAAAUGACUAUGAUCAGC